Cinara cedri is the source of this 327-nucleotide non-coding RNA. Lineage: Eukaryota; Metazoa; Arthropoda; Insecta; Hemiptera; Aphididae. The record is from the annotation of a GenBank genome assembly.
CACACAUUUUGAAGAACGAUCGGCACCCAUUGUGGCGUGUUCCGUCGUCCCGUUGGUGGGACUACCAUCGUACGUGGUGUACGCGUCAAAAGUUAGACGGAUUUACCUUGCGGCCGCCGUCUGUGUCUUUCGUGCCAGACUUCCGCCAUUUUCACCGUUAUGUAUCGUCUUUUUCGUACGGCAUGUAAACCAUUACGAUGACGGUUGUCCCAGUUUUCCACCGACGGAGGAUUUUACCCUGGACAGAUAUUUUGGUGAUAAAUGAUCCUGAGAGUGAUCCCCGAGUCAACUCCUUCUCUGACCAAUAUUUGCGAGGACCAGCGGGCC